This 301-nucleotide ribosomal RNA is filed under the name uncultured bacterium. RNAcentral's name for it is "partial 16S ribosomal RNA". It matches the Rfam family "Bacterial small subunit ribosomal RNA", at positions 509 to 807 of the family's 1533-position model. The record is from RNAcentral.
CAGCAGCCACGGUAAUACGAAGGGGGCUAGCGUUGUUCGGAAUUACUGGGCGUAAAGCGCACGUAGGCGGAUACUUAAGUUAGGGGUGAAAUCCCAGGGCUCAACCCUGGAACUGCCUUUAAUACUGGGUAUCUUGUGUUCGAGAGAGGUAAGUGGAAUUCCGAGUGUAGAGGUGAAAUUCGUAGAUAUUCGGAGGAACACCAGUGGCGAAGGCGGCUUACUGGCUCGAUACUGACGCUGAGGUGCGAAAGCGUGGGGAGCAAACAGGAUUAGAUACCCCUGUAGUCCCUGUCUCUUAUAC